Long non-coding RNA from Dermochelys coriacea (leatherback sea turtle), 1638 nucleotides. RefSeq lists it as uncharacterized. The transcript has 2 exons. Lineage: Eukaryota; Metazoa; Chordata; Testudines; Dermochelyidae. The record is from RefSeq and is a predicted model, not a curated record.
UCCAUGGGUCCAGAUGAUGAAGAUGUCAUCAAUGUAGCGCAAAUAGAGUAGGGGCAUUAGGGGACGAGAGCUGAGGAAGCGUUGUUCUAAGUCAGCCAUAAAAAUGUUCCUGUAUGCCCUCCCCACUCUGAUGUCAAGUUCCCAGGACAACUCUACUCCUCCAAGUUUAAAAGCUGUCACGGAGCCAGCUGUCGCCCACUUGCUCCUAAUCCCAGUCUAUCAGCAUUCUUGUGAUACAAAUGCAAUAACAUACUGGAAACCCCACAGCAUGCCUUGUGCAGCUGCUUGGAGCCUUGCUGACCCCCUGGAUCUCAUUGCCAUCUGGGAGAAGUAUCUUUUCAGGAAGCUCUUGUGGCCAGUCUAUGGACAUUCAAAAGCAGGUGUCCGUGAGUGGUCACGAUCGGGAUAUUGACCAGUGCUAGAUAAAGAACAAGCAGCUCAGGAGAAAAUACAUUGAAACAAGGGACAAAGGAGACAGUCCAGCAGGGUACGUGUGACCUGUCAGGUUUUUGAUGACUUGGACAGUAGUCUACACAAUUAUAGCACAACCUACCCCAGGCACAAUUUUGAGCCUUCUACCCUCACUUCACCCUCACCUGAGGCCAACUGGCAAAAUCCAUCAGGGUCUGAGCAGGAGGAUCCCAGAGAGGAGCUGUCCUCUGACAACCAGGGUCUUUUUUGGACUCAGGACCCUGAUGACGGUCAGCUGGAAAGCCAGCCCUAGACUAGCCCUACUGUAUCUGACCUUGAUUUCUGCACUGCAUCAGCUGAGCCAAGUCCCAGUGAGAAACAGGCCAGGAUCAUAGAGGCAGAUUCCCUGGAAGGAACGUCAACAUCACCUGCAAUGGCCAGACUCUCAAGGACAGGGUCUCUAUGUGUUGCUGAGAGGCUGGCUAACCUGAGGAGGAGUGGGGGAAGACUUGGGAUGAGAAGUUUUCAGAACUCAUGGCAGAGUCCCAGAGGAAAACCAGUUUGAGAAGUGGAAGCUCUAUAUGAGGACCCAGAGGGAGAAAGAAAUGCAGUUCUCCCAAGAGAUUGUGGCAUUGGCCAUGGACAGCAUGAAAAAAAGACAGGGAACUGUAGUGGUAACUCGUGGAUGCCAUUUUCAGCCAGAAUAUGCUAUCCUCCAAAACACGCCCUUGUUUGGCCAGCAGGUCCUGUAAUCCUGGACACAGCUGAGUCCAUCAGCAUAUAGGCGGUACUGGGACCAGCAGCAACUCCUUCCCACCAAACUACCCCCAUCAGUGCUCCUGAUGCUAUUCUCCUCUCAGAACCAACCUCUGGGCACCAAGAACUCUAUACCUGAAAACCCAGCUCUUUUGAUCCCUGCAAUGCCCCUGAAAUCUUUCAGCCACAACACUCCACUGAAGAACCCUUGUGGAGAAGAAGAUCCAGAUGGAAGUCAUAUACACAUCUGUAACUUUAACUCCAUUCCUCCCCAGUUUUUUUCUAUUUGCAGUGUUCUUACUGUUGCACUUUCAGUUCUGUUUGUAUUGUUGCUCUGAUUAAAGGUUGGCUUAUAGUUGGUUUAAUUAGUAGAUUGUUUAAAUUUAUUUGCAAAAUGUAUAUUUUUCCAUUGGUUUCAUAAAACCUUUAUUUUGCGUUUAUCGUUCUUUAUAAUAAAAACAGCUUGCAAUG